Molecule: long non-coding RNA, 780 nt
Filed under: Daphnia pulicaria
Lineage: Eukaryota; Metazoa; Arthropoda; Branchiopoda; Diplostraca; Daphniidae
Description: uncharacterized LOC124352544
Source: RNAcentral
UGAUUUGUUGUUCACAAAGGAAUAGCUGUCAGAUGUGAAAAGGAAUUCUGCCAGUGAAAAUGGAUAAUAUUACGUAAACACAUAACCUGUGUUUAUUUCCUAGACAUGGGUUAUUUCAUGGCUUGGAAAUAAGAAAUUUUGAAUUGUUUCUUUCCAUAUGUGAAACUAUCUUACCAUGGACUAUGGAAGUUGUUUGUCGGGAGCUCAUGGGUAAGUGUAAAGUAUUGAGUACAUGUUAUGCGUCUAAACUUUCUACUCUUAUGUCUAUCACUCAGGCUUACAAAUAUAAUAAAGUGAAGAAAUAGGUAUCGAACAGUAAUCCUGUAUGCAUUUGUCAUCCUAUUGAAGCUUGAUCCAUGCUGGACUAUGGAAAUAUUUUUGUCGAAAGCUAUUGGGCUUAUCGGUGUACUCUUGUAACACUAAGCUGAAUGUCAAUGUAGAGUCAGUGACAGUUUGCAAACACUAUUUGAUAAUUCAUAAGGAAGAAGCCAAGAUUGGCGAGAGCGAAAAAGUUGAAAUCCAAAGUGAUGCAGAGCAAUGUUUCGGAAACGACCCUGCCGUCGCCGUAAGCUGCCAAUCAGCAUCGCAUCUCUCGCAUUCUGCAGGAACUGGAUCGUGAUCCGGCCGUUCACGAUCGUCACUGGGGAGACGUCUUAACGAUCACAUCAACUUGGAUUUAAAAAAAAAAACCAACAAAAUUUGUUAAUUUUCAUUCUUAAAUGUUUAUUGUGUAACGUCAAUGAUUGAAAUGAAACAAUAAAAUGAGUAUAACUUCUUAAA